RNAcentral lists this ribosomal RNA (226 nucleotides) under uncultured bacterium. RNAcentral describes it as "partial 16S ribosomal RNA". It matches the Rfam family "Bacterial small subunit ribosomal RNA", at positions 538 to 763 of the family's 1533-position model. The record is from RNAcentral.
GCGUUAAUCGGAAUUACUGGGCGUAAAGCGCACGCAGGCGGUUUGUUAAGUCAGAUGUGAAAUCCCCGGGCUCAACCUGGGAACUGCAUCUGAUACUGGCAAGCUUGAGUCUCGUAGAGGGGGGUAGAAUUCCAGGUGUAGCGGUGAAAUGCGUAGAGAUCUGGAGGAAUACCGGUGGCGAAGGCGGCCCCCUGGACGAAGACUGACGCUCAGGUGCGAAAGCGUG